RNAcentral lists this long non-coding RNA (3102 nucleotides) under Triticum aestivum (bread wheat). RNAcentral's name for it is "long non-coding RNA (TAES_LNC008635)". The record is from RNAcentral. Lineage: Eukaryota; Viridiplantae; Streptophyta; Magnoliopsida; Poales; Poaceae.
AGACUAAGAGCCUUGCGAUUUACCCCCCAGCGUGCUUGUCCGUCUGUCACGGCGGUGUGAUUGCCGGGUGUUUGCAUUUCGACCUUUUACUGAUCUUGCACGCGUGUUGGUCUCGGUGGUGCUCUUUUUGGCGUUGCUAGUGGUGGCGCAGACGGAGCCUACGAACACGGCGGAGAGCCAAGCACCUGAGGACCCGCAGACUUCCCGGUUCACCUGGACGAUAGAGAACUUCACCAGGGUCAGCGGGAAGAAGCACUACUCAGAUGUGUUUGUCGUUGGUGGAUUUAAAUGGUGAGUUUUGGACAACUUGCCAUUUUGAUUCGCUGUGAAAAUGCGUCUAAUGUGGGAGAUGUUGGAUGUUGAAGGUACUGAUGGAUGUGCUUGUUUUGGACGUAGGCGUGUGCUAAUUUUCCCCAAGGGAAAUAAUGUGGACCAUCUCUCGAUGUACUUGGAUGUUGCAGACUCGGGGAACCUCCCUUACGGAUGGAGCCGGUAUGCUCAGUUCAGCCUAGCCAUUGUAAACCAGAUCCAUCAGAAGUAUACAGCACGCAAAGGUAUUGCUUUUCUUGGAUUAAUGCUGUAAUCAUAGUUUUUAAGCCAUCUGUCAUGGAAGUUUCAAGGGAAUAUAACCUUGAAGUCUUGAGCUGACGUGGAACAGGAUGAACCCAUUGAUCAGUUAAGAUUCUGUGCAUGUACUGCCGCGUGUUAUCCGUUUGGCUGUGCAACUGAAGCUGUGCACGGUACAUGCCUAGGCUAUCAUGCAAUAAUGAUGCUCGAUGACACAACCCCCUUUUUUCUUUCUUUUGGUGAGAUGGAGCACAUUCGUGUAGAUCAAGAUAUACAAUAUUCAUAACUGAUGUAUCACAUGCAAAGCAGACAUCUUUCUUGUAAAGUUUGAUAUAAACCUUGUCUAGUCUUCACUUCGAUGUCUAAGGAUCGUUCAACUUUUAUACCUGGGAGCUGGAUGUUUCUCAGCUGUGCAUCUCUUUUUUGUGGGUUCUUGGUCAGUGGUCAACAUUGUUAAAGUAAUUCAAUUAUUGUGUGGACUCUAGUUUGACGUUGUAUUUCUAUGGUACUGGUGGCGCUGAAAUUGUUAUAUAUAUACAGGUAACAGUUUGGGAAUUAAUUUCAUGAAACUUCUUUUAGGUUAUCCGUAAAUCACAAAUCACAAAAUUUGCAGUUGAUCGUUUUCUUUCUUUUGAGAAACUUACUCCCUCCGAUCCACAAUAAGUGUCGCAGUUUUGAAUUGUGGAUCGGAUGGAGUAGUUGAUAAUUUUUAUAAUGCACAUUAGAUUAUGUUCUAUCACGAGGAAAAAAUCCUUAUAUUUCCACUCAUAUUGUUUUAGUACUUCUCGGUCAGUUAUUGUUGCUUGAAGCCUGAACCUUCAAUUAUUUUUUAUCAUGCAUUUAGUAAUGGUAUAGUGAUUGUUAGUUUUGUUCCAUGUCACGCACUCGAUUGUGCCCUCAUGCUUUCAAAGACUCUUUUGGCUUGUUAUUUUAUGUGGUAGCUAAUGAAGUUCGAUAGUAGCGGUGCUUUGGUGAUAUUGUGAGUUUUUAAAUAUUUCUGCAAAAUUUCUCUGGUUAAGGCUGUAUGUUGGUCCCAUGUUUGGCAGAUACUCAACAUCAGUUUAAUGCACGUGAGAGUGACUGGGGUUUCACAUCUUUUAUGCCUCUGAGUGAGCUGUAUGACCCAAGUAGGGGCUAUCUCGUGAAUGAUACUGUUGUUGUUGAAGCUGAGGUUGCUGUUCGCAAAAUGAUCGACUAUUGGACUUAUGACUCGAAAAAGGAAACAGGUUAUGUUGGUCUCAAGAAUCAGGGUGCUACCUGUUAUAUGAACUCUCUUCUGCAAACCCUGUAUCAUAUACCUUACUUUCGGAAGGUGUGAGACCUUGCUUUGUCGUACCGCACAUGCUUUGUUGUGAGUUUGAAUUUUGAACUAAUUUUGAGUCAAUUCAUUGAUUUUCUUCUUAGGCUGUAUAUCACAUGCCAACUACUGAGAAUGACAUGCCAUCUGGGAGUAUUCCUUUAGCCCUGCAGAGCCUUUUUUACAAGCUCCAGUAUAGCGACAAUAGUGUAGCUACAAAAGAGUUGACUAAAUCUUUCGGGUGGGACACCUAUGAUUCUUUCAUGCAGCAUGAUGUGCAAGAGCUCAAUAGAGUUCUAUGCGAGAAACUUGAAGACAAAAUGAAGGUGGAUGUUAUAUUAACAAUUACCUCUAUGCCAAUUACUUGUCAUUAACUUUGCUUUCUCCCCAGGGAACUGUUGUGGAAGGAACAAUUGAACAACUAUUUGAAGGCCACCACAUUAAUUACAUUGAGUGCAUUAAUGUUGACUAUAAAUCUAACAGAAAAGAGUCCUUUUAUGGUAGGACCUAUACUUUGAAUUGUGUUUGCAUUUUAUGUGCUAUAUCCAUCUAUUAUUUAAUGGUCACUUAUGCUGGCCUUGCAGAUCUACAACUUGAUGUCAAAGGUUGUCGUGAUGUUUAUGCAUCAUUUGAUAAAUAUGUCGAAGUGGAGCGUCUAGAGGGUGAUAACAAAUACCAGGCUGAACAACAUGGCUUACAGGUUCCUACAAAUCAUGUUCUAAUCAUGGCUUUGAACCUGAAUCUUAAGUUGCAUUAUCUUUGUUGUUAAAUAUUUUGGAAUAUUGGUGUGGUACAUUGUACAUAUGAAUGGCAGGGUACCUUUGCUUGCUCUAUUAAUGGUUACUUUCUAAUGUUUCUAAUGUUGCCUUGUGAUCAUGAGGUCACGGGUUUGAGUCCUGGAAACACCCUCUUUCAGAAAUGUAGGGAAAGGCUGUGUACAAAAGACCAAAGUGGUAGAACCCUUCCCCGGACCCUGCGCAAGCGGGAGCUACGUGCACCGGGCUGCCCUGUUUUUUUGCUUGCAUUAGUCAAUACACAGAGAUGGUUUACUUGAUAGUAAUUUUGGAUAAAAGAGGUGUUAGUGUUGUAGCUGACGUUGUCUACGGAGGUUGUAGAGUGGGAUACUCGGAGGACGCAUGGGCCGUCACCGUGUAGGCGCCGUGGUACAGUAGAAAGGUAGUGGGGAAAGAUUGGAGAAUUAGAGGGGUAGAAGAGAAGCAUAGGCAGGAACUAGAUAU